This 706-nucleotide ribosomal RNA is filed under the name Herbaspirillum sp. Its description in RNAcentral is "bacterial SSU rRNA". It matches the Rfam family "Bacterial small subunit ribosomal RNA", at positions 52 to 751 of the family's 1533-position model. The record is from RNAcentral. Lineage: Bacteria; Pseudomonadati; Pseudomonadota; Betaproteobacteria; Burkholderiales; Oxalobacteraceae.
UACCAUGCAGUCGAACGGCAGCAUAGGAGCUUGCUCCUGAUGGCGAGUGGCGAACGGGUGAGUAAUAUAUCGGAACGUGCCCUAGAGUGGGGGAUAACUAGUCGAAAGACUAGCUAAUACCGCAUACGAUCUACGGAUGAAAGUGGGGGAUCGCAAGACCUCAUGCUCCUGGAGCGGCCGAUAUCUGAUUAGCUAGUUGGUGGGGUAAAAGCCUACCAAGGCAACGAUCAGUAGCUGGUCUGAGAGGACGACCAGCCACACUGGGACUGAGACACGGCCCAGACUCCUACGGGAGGCAGCAGUGGGGAAUUUUGGACAAUGGGGGCAACCCUGAUCCAGCAAUGCCGCGUGAGUGAAGAAGGCCUUCGGGUUGUAAAGCUCUUUUGUCAGGGAAGAAACGGUAGUAGCGAAUAACUAUUACUAAUGACGGUACCUGAAGAAUAAGCACCGGCUAACUACGUGCCAGCAGCCGCGGUAAUACGUAGGGUGCAAGCGUUAAUCGGAAUUACUGGGCGUAAAGCGUGCGCAGGCGGUUGUGUAAGUCAGAUGUGAAAUCCCCGGGCUCAACCUGGGAAUUGCAUUUGAGACUGCACGGCUAGAGUGUGUCAGAGGGGGGUAGAAUUCCACGUGUAGCAGUGAAAUGCGUAGAUAUGUGGAGGAAUACCGAUGGCGAAGGCAGCCCCCUGGGAUAACACUGACGCUCAUG